Molecule: long non-coding RNA, 2643 nt
Organism: Nematolebias whitei (Rio pearlfish)
Lineage: Eukaryota; Metazoa; Chordata; Actinopteri; Cyprinodontiformes; Rivulidae
Exons: 2
Source: RefSeq, a predicted model, not a curated record
UGUCCAAGGAACAACCAGCCUUCCAGUACAGCAGCCACGUGUCUCUACAAGCCCCCAGUGGUCACAUGUGGGGAACGUUUCGGAUUGAAAGAUCCGAUGGCUCGCACUUUGAUGUCCGCAUUCCUCCUUUCUCACUGGAAAGCAAUAAAGACGACAAAGCGCCCCCUGCUGGCUACACGUUCUAACAAUGACUUCCAUGGUGACGCCUCGGAUACCCAGCCAGUCCUGGUCCUACCUGGGUUCCCUACAGUUCCUCUGUGACCCUGCCACAGCAUUCAGUCACAUUAAGCUGAGGGAAGAUGUAGGGUGUCUAGAUAAUCCAGUUGCUGCUCCACCUUUUUCCCCUGUCCAAAUGCACCAAAUACCAGUAUGUAAUUGAUUUAAGUGACCGUGUGGAAACUCCCUCUGCUGUUCACGUGGUUUAAGAGACGUGCAGCGAAAUGGAAGAUCAAACUGAUGCUGCCAGAUUGAACAGGAUGAGUUCUGACAUGCAGUUAGUGAAAUACGGCGCAGGGUGGAGGAUUUACUGCUACGCUCAGGGUUUCACAAAAGUGAGUCUUUAAACUGACACCUCAAAAACCCACAUGAUGACAUUUUUAGGAUUUAUAGCAACAUAUCAGUCUGGACCUCUUGCUUUAUAAACAACUUGAAUGAGUUACGCCUGAUUACUGAAAGUCGUGUAAGAUGCUAAUUUUGAUCUGGUUUACAGUGAAGUGAAACACUGGACAUCACUGGUCACCUUGGGACGAAACGGGCUCGACGUUUCAGUUAAAUCACAUUUAUGUCAAUCCUGAAGAUAAAAAUCAUAACUGAUUAGAGCAGUUCCUGAAUAAAUGAAGCAGCAGCAUCUGUGACCGUGUGAGACGUCCUCAUGAAGCUGCUCUGUUUAUUUAAAUCAUACGUCCCAAACAGAAGCAGCUCCGUGUGUGUUGGUAUGAGCCGACAUUAAUGAAGCUGGUGCUGCAAGGACAGCGGUGUCAUUGGCGUUUUAACCAGAAACGCUCCUCAAACCUGUCCAAUUAUUCAUUUUGAUCUUUACAACCUACUCUCUGUCCUCUUCCUCGCUCCUGCCCCACAAGUCCAACUACCAAGUCCAUCUAGCAGCCACUGCUCCGAACAUUAGACCAACUUGCAGUGAUUCAUGCUUCUUACAACGCGGGCUUCUUUUGUUCUUAUUCAGCUCUAAUGAAUAGAUCAAGUUUCAGCACAACAAACUGUCUAAGAACAGAAAACGACCCAAGGAGCAUGAAUCUCAGCUGCAGCUGUAUGAUUUAGAACUACUGCCUGAUUCGUGUUUUUGCUUAUAAAAUGAUCAUGUCUACAUGCUUUGGACUUGCAGUGAAUUACAGUUUACUCACAACAGCAGCUGGAAACCUCAAGUCCAGAGACGUGUCCUGCUGCUCAUCUAGCUAGCUGGGAUCUUUGUAUUCACUGAUCUACUGGAUCAAACGUGGAGGGAAAUGCCUUGAUGCUGUAAAACUGAGCUCACCCAUGACCAUAGCUUCCACUCAAUAACCUUUCAAAAUAAAUCAUGAUGGCAGAAACGUACUGGGAUACUUAGUUUUAUUCGUAUCUUGUUUUCUGGGAGGAAGGUGCUUCAGACUGUUGGGGAUCUUGUGUUAAAGGCUUUUGCCCAUUUUCCAUCUGGGUAACUCACAACUUCUAUUCCUCUCUGGUAAACCUUUAGGUGCCCUGCUGCAGCUGAACAUUCAAAUGGUUUGAACAAAUGUGUAUUGGAAGAGUCUCUGGACCUUUGUCUCAGUGUGAGGCUGCCACCCACAGGCUUUAUGCUGCAUGUGCAUUAAUGUUGCCUAAAACAGUCACAAAUGAAGGAUUGCUUUGAUUUAAUUCCAUUAGUUGACUGUAAAAUAUCUUGGGACAUUAAAAAAAAGCUUCCCAGUUGUAGGAACUGCCCAGAAAUACAUAUAACUCCUAAUAAUUAGGACAAUAAGAGUCUUAACAUUAUGACUUGAUCACUGAAACUGGGAAUGAAACAAAAUCCUCCACUUUUUUCUUUUCUUCCCAGUAACCCUGAUAAGUCGUCAUAUUCUUUCUCCUGUUCGGCAGUUGUUUAUUUGAUCAACCUGCUGCACAUCUGUUGUCAUGAUGCCAUCGUUGAUUAUAAAACGAAGCCGGCACAUCUGGAUGCAUACAUGAUGCGCUACACGUAGAACUUCUGUACAGUGAUCAGACCGCACCAGGUGCACUUCAGGUGUCGCAGUAAAGCAACUGAGCGCUGAGUAUGUGAGACUUCUAUGGGUAUGUGUUCACACUAAAGUCCACCAGGUUAAAAAAAACUAACAAAGAUGUCCGCUGUGAUUCUCUGUUACUGAGAUCAAACUAGGAGUGCUACAUCCGACAGCCAAAAGAGACACCUGAUUAUAACGGGCUAUGGUCGUUCUAUAACAAAAGCCCAGCGAUGUGUUAAAGGAGAGGCCAGAGACAUGUCUGUCCUGUUUUUGUUUUUUUGGUUUGUUUGUUUUUAAAUGUCUGGCUGUUUGAAUUUGCAGAACAGGAGUUGUGAGGCUAACAUCUCUCCCUUUACGUGAAGAAACUAAUACUGUUGCUUUAGGGAGGGGUUUGAAGCAACUACAAUGUUUGAAAUGCUGUAAAUAGAUGUAAUUAAAGGCAAAAUAAACUUUU